Molecule: ribosomal RNA, 700 nt
Filed under: uncultured cyanobacterium
Lineage: Bacteria; Bacillati; Cyanobacteriota
Description: bacterial SSU rRNA
Rfam family: Bacterial small subunit ribosomal RNA
Source: RNAcentral
UGCAAGUCGUACGAGAGUUUUUAACUCUAGUGGCGGACGGGUGAGUAACACGUGAGAAUUUACCUUUAGGAGGGGGAUAACAAUUGGAAACGAAUGCUAAUACCCCAUAUGCUUUUGAGUGAAAUGGAUUUAUAAUUAUCUGCCUAAAGAAAAGCUCGCGGCUGAUUAGCUUGUUGGUAAGGUAAGAGCUUACCAAGGCGACGAUCAGUAUCUGGUUUGAGAGGACGAUCAGACACACUGGAGCUGAGACACGGUCCAGACUCCUACGGGAGGCAGCAGUGGGGAAUUUUCCGCAAUGGGCGAAAGCCUGACGGAGCAAUACCGCGUGAGGGAAGAAUGCCUAUGGGUUGUAAACCUCUUUUUUCAGGGAGGAAUAAAAUGACGUGUACCUGAAGAAUAAGCAUCGGCUAACUCCGUGCCAGCAGCCGCGGUAAGACGGAGGAUGCAAGUGUUAUCCGGAAUCACUGGGCGUAAAGCGUCUGUAGGUGGUUUAAUAAGUCAACUGUUAAAUCUUGAGGCUCAACUUCAAAACCGCAGUCGAAACUAUUAGACUAGAGUAUAGUAGAGGUAAAGGGAAUUUCCAGUGGAGCGGUGAAAUGCGUAGAUAUUGGAAAGAACACCGAUGGCGAAAGCACUUUACUGGGCUAUUACUAACACUCAGAGACGAAAGCUAGGGUAGCAAAUGGGAUUAGAUACCCCA